Molecule: ribosomal RNA, 270 nt
Filed under: uncultured bacterium
Lineage: Bacteria
Description: partial 16S ribosomal RNA
Rfam family: Bacterial small subunit ribosomal RNA
Source: RNAcentral
AACGAACGCUGGCGGCGUGCCUAACACAUGCAAGUCGCGCGAGAAAAGGGCUUCGGCCCCUAGUAAAGCGGCGCAUGGGUGCGUAACACGUGGGUAAUCUGCCUUUGGGACCGGAACAACCUUCCGAAAGGAGGGCUAAUGCCGGAUAAGCCCACGGGGUCUUCGGACCCUGGGGGAAAAGAUGGCCUCUGUAUACAAGCUAUCACCUGAAGAUGAGCCCGCGGCCCAUCAGCUAGUUGGCGGGGUAAUGGCCCACCAAGGCAACGACGG